Molecule: transfer RNA, 77 nt
Filed under: Verrucomicrobiota bacterium
Lineage: Bacteria; Pseudomonadati; Verrucomicrobiota
Description: Verrucomicrobia bacterium (fermentation metagenome) tRNA-Pro
Rfam family: tRNA
About the family: Transfer RNA (tRNA) molecules are approximately 80 nucleotides in length. Their secondary structure includes four short double-helical elements and three loops (D, anti-codon, and T loops). Further hydrogen bonds mediate the characteristic L-shaped molecular structure. tRNAs have two regions of fundamental functional importance: the anti-codon, which is responsible for specific mRNA codon recognition, and the 3' end, to which the tRNAs corresponding amino acid is attached (by aminoacyl-tRNA synthetases). tRNAs cope with the degeneracy of the genetic code in two manners: having more than one tRNA (with a specific anti-codon) for a particular amino acid; and 'wobble' base-pairing, i.e. permitting non-standard base-pairing at the 3rd anti-codon position.
Source: RNAcentral
CGGGAUGUAGCACAGUUGGCUAGCGCGCCACGUUCGGGACGUGGAGGCCGUGGGUUCAAAUCCCACCACCCCGACCA